CUAAGAAUGCUACCUUGUUUAGCAGUAUUUCUGCUUUGUUUUGAAAACAGAGAAACGUGAAAUCUCCAAUCUGAGGGAAAGAUUCAUGAUGAUGAUCUGGGAGCUGCUAAAUCACCCACCUGCUUCCCCAGCUGACCAACAAAGAGGUAGAAUAUCAUACAGGAGUGAGUUGAUGCAAGAUGGAGAGAGGAGAAAGAAAAGGAGCCUACCAAGAAAUAGCAGCACAAAGGACAGUGAACAAGAUCAUGUUGUCCAGAUGCCAAUUUCAGGAAAAACAGCUGUCCAGAUUUUAGGGAGAAAACUACUUCCUCAAGGCACCUGGAGUGAGUUGAUACUGUACAAGUCCCUUUUUGUGUGGAAAAUGUUAUACGCCUCUGACAACUGAAGACCAAGGCACAUAAGUUUCCCAAAAGUGCUGCAUAUGUGUGAUUCCUUUAACCUAUCACAAUGAUUUCCUGGGAAGUUACAGACUUGCAGCUGCAACUUUGACCUAUAAUUCAGUGAUUUUAUGAGAAAAAAUGUACUAGUGAAAAGUGUUCCAGUGAAAAGCUGAGUAUUUCAAAACAAAACAAAACUGCAUAUAAAGCCUCUCUUUUUCAAUAUCUGUUUUUUAUGAC
This 617-nucleotide long non-coding RNA is filed under the name Anser brachyrhynchus (Pink-footed goose). RNAcentral describes it as "lncRNA (ENSABRG00000017045.1)". Lineage: Eukaryota; Metazoa; Chordata; Aves; Anseriformes; Anatidae. The record is from RNAcentral.